Podarcis lilfordi (Lilford's wall lizard) is the source of this 1182-nucleotide non-coding RNA. NCBI's taxonomy places the organism in Eukaryota, Metazoa, Chordata, Lepidosauria, Squamata, Lacertidae. The record is from the annotation of a GenBank genome assembly.
GAGAGGCUGGGAGGCAAGGUCAAGGCAAAGGUUUGCAUUUCCAUCUGUAAUGUCAAAAAACCACUUUUUAUGCUACUGAAAAUACCAGUAACAUACAAUGAGGAGUUUUACAACCCUAUAAAGAACAUGCUGCUGCUGCUUUAUUGCUGUACUAUGUAUAUGUGCUAAUAUUUCAUGAAGUUUAUAGUAUGUUUUCAGCUACACAAAGCACAAAGGUGUAGGAAACUGCCUAAAAUGGGCAAUAGGAGAUUAUAGAUUCAGAUGUGGCCUCUUCUCACAAGACUGAGGCAAAGCUAGCUCCCAAACCAGAAGAAGACUGUGUCCCUCUAUUCACAGAACUAGCGAACUGGAGCGUUGGAAGGGACCUUGAGGGUCACUAGCCCAACCCCCUGCAAGGCCGGAUCUCAACUAAAGCUUCCAUGACAGAUGCAUAUCAAAUAUAUUGAAUGUUCUUGUAGCAGAGGCCAGACCUAAGUGGUGGGUUGCAUGCGCAGACUCCUGGAUCCUCCCUCUUGGCUGAACAGCUGCAAAGUGGCAUUAUGGGUGAUUUGCAAGAGAGAAACACUGCAGUGAAUGGAAGGGGAAUGGGUUGACAGCUUCCUUAAUGUAUGACCCUGGAAUUCUGGAUCCCCCAUCACAUAAACUGAUGCCAAAGUUUAGUGCUAGUUUACCCUAGGAGACCAAGUCCAGUAUACCUCUUUCCAUAAGUAGCUAAUUUCUGAAUUUAACUUUUUAUAUGGUUUUAUGUAUAAUAGUUGUAAAACCACUCUGUUUUUUUUUAUGAAUAGCAGUAUAUAUAAAUAUUCUGAUCGCCAAAGAAUUGAUGCUUUUGAAUUAUGGUGCUGGAGGAGACUCUUGAGAGUCCCAUGGAUUGCAAGAAGAUCAAACCUCUCCAUUCUUAAGGAAAUCAGCCCUGAGUGCUCACUGGAAGGACGGAUCCUGAAGCUGAGGCUCCAAUACUUUGGCCACCUCAUGAGAAGAGAAGACUCCCUGGGAAAGACCCUGAUGUUGGGAAAGAUGGAGGGCACAAGAAGAAGGGGACGACAGAGGACGAGAUGGUUGGACAGUGUUCUCAAAGCUACCAGCAUGAGUUUGACCAAACUGCAGGAGGCAGUGGAAGACAGGAGGGUCUGGCGUGCUCUGGUCCAUGGGGUCACGAAGAGUCGGACAUGACUAAACGAC